Molecule: long non-coding RNA, 493 nt
Filed under: Mus musculus (house mouse)
Lineage: Eukaryota; Metazoa; Chordata; Mammalia; Rodentia; Muridae
Description: predicted gene, 48830
Source: RNAcentral
AGCCAAUGGGAACAAAUGCAGAGGCCUACAGCUACAUACUACACAGAGAAUGAGACUUUGGAAUACCCAUUCCUAAUCACAAUUUCUCUACCACAUUCCUUCUUUCAGAGCCCAGGGCACCGUGCAGAAGAGUAAGCAAUAGGAGUAUGAGAGCCAGAGAGGAUGGAGGACAACGGGAGAGCAAGGCCCUCUGGAUCAGCUGAGUAAGGUUCAUGCCCUCACUCUUGGAUGCUGGAUGGAACUAGGGUGCAAUGGACAAGAAUAAAGAGGAGACGGGCCUAUGACCUGGAUGAUGCAAGAAGACUUCAAGUAGAAGUGUCUGAAGUCACCCUUGUCUUGUUUGGAACAAGAUCUCAUUAUUUCUGUGGUUUACAUACUGGUCACAGUUACAGUUAAAUUUCCUAAAUGAGAAGACUUUUCCUUUUCCUUUCUUCCCCCUGGAGGGAGCAUAGGAAGGAGGCUAGACUCCAAACAGUUAAUGAAUGUUACACCU